AUGAAUCCCCCAGGUGCCCUGAAACCUCUGUGUGCUCUGCCUACGCCGCCCCUGGUCCGCACAGGGAGCAGAGCCCUCCACAGCCGGGGCAGGGCUUGCAGCUCCCCACCAGCCCCCACUGGCAGCCCGCUGCCCUCACUCACCCUCACAGAUGAGAUGGAGCUCUUCCUUCUUCCCCCUGAGGUGUCACCUGGCUGUCCCUUGGAACACAGAGCCUGUCAGGCCAGCGGCACAGCUCCCUGCCAGCGGCGCUGCCAGCCCUGUGCCCACACGCCCUCCUGGCCCGGCUCGUGGCUUAACCAUAAACCUGAUGGCCGCCUCUUGCAGGGGCUCCUGUGGGUUCUGAAGGUAGGGCAGGGCCCGGUGCAGGUGCUCGGCCAUGCUGCUGCUGUCCUCUGCCAGCUGGAGAGAGCGGCAGGAGGGAAGGGUUGGCCCCGCAUCCCCGCCAGGCCGGGGCUCCAUGGGCACUCGGCUCGGGGCGCAGGAGCCUGGAGCAGAGCCCGCGCGGCCUCUGGGUGCAGCGCCGGGCACAGCUGCCAGCCCGCACACAGAGCACCGUGCUCAGGCGGCUUCUCCAGGCUGAGGCUGCGGCUUCCUGGCCGUCCUUACCAGGCGCUCAGUGAACUUCCACAUCUUUUUGUUCUUCACCAGUUUUCCAAGAUCCCUCCUCUUCAGGAACUCGGCCGCAAAAAGCAGUGUUUCCUGAGAAGCCUGGAGAGCAGCAGAGAUGCGGGGAUGGCCCCACAGCCCAGGGCGCAGGACCCACAUCCCUGUGCCAAGGCCAGGAGGAGGAUGCAGCCCGCGUGUCGCCAGGGCAGGAGGCAGCCUAGCCCCUGCCAGGGGGACAGCAGCAGCCCACGAGUCCUCACCUGUGCCACUCGCUGGUUCUCAUCAUGGCAGUGGAAGAAGAGUGGGAGCAGGCUCUGGAGUAUGUAUGCCUUCAGGGCCUUUUUUUCCUUUUCCUGUGGAAGAGUCACCACUCUUCGGAAGAGCAGUAUGGAGAGCAGCUGCACCUGGCUUUUGUCCUGUAUGAAGGGAAGAACAAAAGACCUCAGCAUUGGCUGCACUGGGUUCAGUUUGGUGCAGGCCUGCAAAUCUGCAGGGCACAAAGUGUCCAGGCAGCAGCCAGUGGCCGUGGCUGUGGGCAGUGAGCCUUACGUGGUCAAGGAGUGGCAGGAGCACCACUUCUUCAGUCUGGUGUGCAUGGGCAUCUCCAGGGCCUUCUUCCUCUUCCUCCACCCAGGCCAACUUGGGCACUCUCAGGGAUCUCUGCUCCAUGUCAGUGACUGGAUUUGUGGCUACUUGCAGGAGAGAUGCCUCGGAAAAAGGGAUGGGAGAUGCCUCCGGGGCACCAAGUCCCAUGCUCUGCCCUCGAGGGCACCUGCAGAAGGCCACGGGUCAGCAAGUCCUGUGGUCUGGCCUUGA
Molecule: long non-coding RNA, 1425 nt
Filed under: Chloebia gouldiae (Gouldian finch)
Lineage: Eukaryota; Metazoa; Chordata; Aves; Passeriformes; Passeridae
Description: Erythrura gouldiae (Gouldian finch) lncRNA (ENSEGOG00005017637.1)
Source: RNAcentral